This 1019-nucleotide ribosomal RNA is filed under the name Enterococcus faecium. RNAcentral describes it as "bacterial SSU rRNA". It matches the Rfam family "Bacterial small subunit ribosomal RNA", at positions 8 to 997 of the family's 1533-position model. Lineage: Bacteria; Bacillati; Bacillota; Bacilli; Lactobacillales; Enterococcaceae. The record is from RNAcentral.
AGAGUUUGAUCCUGGCUCAGGACGAACGCUGGCGGCGUGCCUAAUACAUGCAAGUCGAACGCUUCUUUUUCCACCGGAGCUUGCUCCACCGGAAAAAGAGGAGUGGCGAACGGGUGAGUAACACGUGGGUAACCUGCCCAUCAGAAGGGGAUAACACUUGGAAACAGGUGCUAAUACCGUAUAACAAUCAAAACCGCAUGGUUUUGAUUUGAAAGGCGCUUUCGGGUGUCGCUGAUGGAUGGACCCGCGGUGCAUUAGCUAGUUGGUGAGGUAACGGCUCACCAAGGCCACGAUGCAUAGCCGACCUGAGAGGGUGAUCGGCCACAUUGGGACUGAGACACGGCCCAAACUCCUACGGGAGGCAGCAGUAGGGAAUCUUCGGCAAUGGACGAAAGUCUGACCGAGCAACGCCGCGUGAGUGAAGAAGGUUUUCGGAUCGUAAAACUCUGUUGUUAGAGAAGAACAAGGAUGAGAGUAACUGUUCAUCCCUUGACGGUAUCUAACCAGAAAGCCACGGCUAACUACGUGCCAGCAGCCGCGGUAAUACGUAGGUGGCAAGCGUUGUCCGGAUUUAUUGGGCGUAAAGCGAGCGCAGGCGGUUUCUUAAGUCUGAUGUGAAAGCCCCCGGCUCAACCGGGGAGGGUCAUUGGAAACUGGGAGACUUGAGUGCAGAAGAGGAGAGUGGAAUUCCAUGUGUAGCGGUGAAAUGCGUAGAUAUAUGGAGGAACACCAGUGGCGAAGGCGGCUCUCUGGUCUGUAACUGACGCUGAGGCUCGAAAGCGUGGGGAGCAAACAGGAUUAGAUACCCUGGUAGUCCACGCCGUAAACGAUGAGUGCUAAGUGUUGGAGGGUUUCCGCCCUUCAGUGCUGCAGCUAACGCAUUAAGCACUCCGCCUGGGGAGUACGACCGCAAGGUUGAAACUCAAAGGAAUUGACGGGGGCCCGCACAAGCGGUGGAGCAUGUGGUUUAAUUCGAAGCAACGCGAAGAACCUUACCAGGUCUUGACAUCCUUUGACCA